GGGGAAUUAGCUCAAGUGGUAGAGCGCUUCUUUAGCAUGCAAGAAUCAGUGGGAUCAAUGCCCACAUUCUCCA
RNAcentral lists this transfer RNA (73 nucleotides) under Pelodiscus sinensis (Chinese soft-shelled turtle). It matches the Rfam family "tRNA". From Rfam's summary of the family: Transfer RNA (tRNA) molecules are approximately 80 nucleotides in length. The record is from Rfam by way of RNAcentral. Lineage: Eukaryota; Metazoa; Chordata; Testudines; Trionychidae.